This 305-nucleotide ribosomal RNA is filed under the name uncultured bacterium. RNAcentral's name for it is "bacterial SSU rRNA". It matches the Rfam family "Bacterial small subunit ribosomal RNA", at positions 28 to 334 of the family's 1533-position model. The record is from RNAcentral.
AACGAGCGUUGGCGGCGGGGCUUAGACAUGCAAGUCGAGCGGAAAGGCUCCUUCGGGAGUACUCGAGCGGCGAACGGGAGAGUAAUACCUGGACAACCUACCCCGGAGUCGGGAAUAGCCACUGGAAACGGUGGGUAAUGCCCGAUAGUCCGUGUUGGCUGAUGGCCGACCCGGUAAAGGUGAUUCCGCUUCGGGACGGGUCCAGGGCCCAUUAGCUUGUUGGUGAGGUAACGGCUCACCAAGGCGACGAUGGGUAGCGGGCCUGAGAGGGUGAUCCGCCUCACUGGGACUGAGACACUGCCCAG